Molecule: non-coding RNA, 31 nt
Filed under: Rattus norvegicus (Norway rat)
Lineage: Eukaryota; Metazoa; Chordata; Mammalia; Rodentia; Muridae
Source: RNAcentral
UUCAUUCACGGAACACAGCCAUCUAAUGCAC